AUAGAUAGAGAUAUACAGUAUUAUGUAUGUAUGUAUGUAUGUAUAUGUGUAUUGGGUUGGAAAUUAAUUAAGCACCGCUAAACCAGUUUGUUCGUUGCUCAACUUUAUUUGAUUUUGUUUCUGUGGGAUGGCACAUUAAUGCUCUCCUCCUCCUCCACCUCCAUCUCCACCUCCACCAUCCUCUACCCUCAUUCAUUCAUUCAUCAUAUAUUCCUCUCCAUUCUCAUGAACACCACCGCAUCUACCUCUACUUGUACCUCUACCUCGCAAUUCCCGAAUUAAUUCACUGACGAAGCAAGGAAUUCAGUUUCGGAAACCCUAGCUAGGUACGAGAUGAGCCAUCAGUCGCCACCGGCAGCGGGCAAUGGCGGCGAGGAGACGGAGAAGGAGAAAGACAAGGAGAAGACUAUGGCGGCGAAGAAGGUGUCGCUGGGGAAGCUAUUCUCCUUCGCCGACGGAUACGAUUAUUUGCUCAUGUUUGUCGGUUCCAUCGGCGCCUGCGUGCAUGGCGCCUCUGUCCCCGUUUUCUUCAUCUUCUUCGGGAAGAUGAUUAACGUCAUCGGCUUGGCUUAUCUCUUCCCCAAAUUAGCUUCGCAUCGAAUCGCCAUGUAUUCUUUGGAUUUCGUGUACCUAAGCAUAGUGAUUAUGUUCUCAUCAUGGACAGAGGUGGCAUGCUGGAUGUAUACCGGGGAGAGACAGGCAGCAAAAAUGAGAAUGGCUUAUCUGAGAUCAAUGCUAAAUCAAGACAUCUCCAUUUUCGACACUGAAGCAUCAACUGGGGAGGUCAUCUCUGCCAUUACCAGUGACAUUAUUGUAGUCCAGGACGCUCUUUCUGAAAAGGUGGGGAAUUUCCUGCACUACAUCAGCCGUUUCUUGUCAGGGUUCGUAAUAGGGUUCAUCAGGGUUUGGCAAAUCAGCUUGGUGACGCUGUCCAUCGUGCCCAUGAUUGCGAUCGCCGGCGGCAUCUACGCUUACGUCGCCACCGGCCUCAUCGCCAGGGUCCGCAAGGCGUACGUCAACGCCGGAGAAAUCGCCGAAGAGGUGAUCGGAAAUGUGCGGACAGUGCAAGCAUUCGCCGGAGAAGAGAAAGCAGUCAGCAUGUACAAAACAUCUCUGUUGAGCACUUACAAGUACGGCCGGAAAGCCGGCCUGGCCAAAGGCCUCGGCCUCGGGACCCUCCAUUGCGUGCUCUUCUUGUCGUGGGCGUUGCUUGUCUGGUUCACCAGCAUCGUUGUCCACAAGAAUAUUGCUAAUGGCGGAGAGUCUUUCACCACCAUGCUCAAUGUCGUCAUCUCCGGCCUGUCUCUCGGACAAGCAGCUCCUGAUGUUUCAGCAUUCAUUCGAGCGAAAGCGGCAGCGUAUCCCAUCUUCGAGAUGAUCGAAAGGAACACUCUCAGCAAAACCAGUUCUCAGACAGGGAGGAAGCUGAGCAAAGUAGAUGGCCACAUUCAAUUCAAGAACGUGUCUUUCAGCUACCCUUCCCGCCCUGAUGUCCUGAUUUUCGACAAGCUCUGCUUGGACAUCCCACCUGGAAAGAUCGUAGCCCUUGUCGGAGGUAGCGGCUCCGGGAAGAGCACGGUUAUAUCGUUGAUAGAACGCUUCUACGAGCCGCGAUCAGGGCACAUAAAAUUGGACAGGAAUGAUAUCAGGGAGCUGGACCUGAAAUGGCUCAGGCAUCAAAUCGGGCUUGUGAAUCAAGAGCCCGCCCUGUUCGCCACCACCAUUAGAGACAACAUUCUCUACGGCAAACACGACGCCACCAAUGAGGAAAUCAUCCGCGCAGCAAAGCUUUCGGAGGCAAUCAACUUCAUCAAUAACCUCCCCGAGCGAUUCGAUACUCAGGUAGGCGAGAGAGGGAUACAGCUAUCGGGCGGACAGAAGCAGAGGAUCGCAAUAUCCCGAGCCAUCGUGAAGAAUCCUUCCAUCUUAUUGUUGGAUGAGGCGACGAGCGCCCUCGAUGCAGAGUCUGAGAAGAGCGUGCAAGAGGCUCUCGACCGCGUGAUGGUGGGGCGAACCACGGUUGUCGUGGCUCAUCGCCUUUCGACAAUCAGAAACGCCGACGUGAUAGCUGUCGUGCAAAAUGGCACCAUUGUCGAAUCCGGCAGCCAUGAUGAGCUCAUGUCGAAGCCCCACAGCGCCUAUGCUUCGCUUGUUCAGCUACAAGAGGCAGCUUCGUUGCAUCAAAUGUCGCCCCACGGUCCUACGAUGGGGCGACCUCUUAGCAUUAGGUAUUCGCGGGAGGGCAGCAUUCGGUACUCGCGGGAGUUAUCCCGCACGACAAGAAGCCUCGGCGCAAGUUUUCGUUCAGAGAGAUCGUUGAGCAGAUUUGGUGGCGAAGGACCUGAGGUUGUAAAACCUGUUAACAUCUCCUCGGGUAGACUGUUCUCCAUGGUGCGGCCGGAUUGGUUUUAUGGUGUUUCCGGCACACUUUGCGCAUUCAUUGCCGGGGCACAAUUGCCUCUGUUUGCACUUGGUGUGACUCAGGCUCUCGUCUCCUACUACAUGGAUUGGGACACAACUCGCCGGGAAGUUAGAAAGAUCGCCUUCCUCUUCUGCGGUGGCGCUGUUAUAGCCGUGUUUGUAAACACAAUUACACACAUGAGCUUCGGGAUCAUGGGCGAGCGCCUCACCCUUCGUGUUAGGGAGAAGAUGUUCUCUGCUAUGCUGCGAAACGAGAUAGGAUGGUUCGAUGACAUGAACAACUCGAGUUCGAUGCUGGCAUCCAAGUUAGAAACCGAUGCUACUUUACUGCGGACUGUAGUUGUCGAUCGCUCGACCAUUUUGCUACAAAACAUCGGCUUGGUCGCCUCGUCCUUUGUCAUCGCCUUCAUCAUGAACUGGAGGCUUGCUCUAGUUGUCAUGGCGACUUAUCCAUUGAUCGUUAGUGGGCAUAUAAGCGAGAAACUUUUCAUGAAAGGCUACGGCGUCGACUUGGACAAAGCGUAUCUCAAAGCCAACAUGCUCGCUGGAGAGGCCGUGAGCAACAUCCGAACCGUAGCAGCAUUCUGCUCGGAGGAGAAAGUUCUCGAUCUUUAUUCGCAAGAACUCAUCGAACCAUCCAAAAGUUCGUUCAGGCGCGGGCAGGCUGCAGGGAUCUUUUACGGGGUCUCGCAGUUUUUCAUCUUCUCGUCCUACGCUCUCGCCUUAUGGUACGGUUCGAAGCUAAUGGAGAAGGGGCUCGGAAGCUUCAAAUCGGUGAUGAAAACGUUCAUGGUAAUGAUCGUGACGGCCUUAGGUAUGGGCGAGCUCCUCGCCAUGGCGCCGGAUCUCUUGAAGGGAACUCAUAUGGUGGCCUCUGUGUUCGAAGUGCUCGACCGGAAGACCGAGAUUCUGAACGAUGUCGGAGAAGAGGUGACGCAAGUAGACGGGACUAUCGAAUUCAAGGGCGUCGAAUUCAGCUACCCCUCAAGGCCAAACGUAUCAAUUUUCAAGGAUUUCAAUAUGCGAGUCCACGCCGGAAGAAGCAUGGCGCUUGUCGGGCAGAGUGGCUCCGGCAAAAGCUCUGUCAUCUCCCUCAUACUCCGAUUCUACGAUCCCAUCUCGGGGAAGAUAUUGAUCGACGGGAAAGACAUACGGAAGCUGAAGCUGAAGUCGCUCCGAAAGCACAUAGGCCUCGUGCAGCAGGAGCCGGCGCUCUUCGCGACGUCGAUCUACGAAAACAUCCUUUAUGGGAAGGACGGUGCGACGGAAUCCGAGAUCAUCGAGGCAGCGAAGCUGGCGAACGCGCAUAGCUUCAUUAGCUCCCUCCCGGAGGGAUACUCGACGAAAGUCGGGGAACGAGGAGUCCAGCUGUCGGGAGGGCAGAGGCAACGAGUAGCGAUCGCGCGCGCAAUUCUGAAAAACCCGUCGAUCUUGCUGCUGGACGAGGCGACAAGUGCACUGGACGUGGAGUCGGAGCGCAUAGUGCAGCAGGCGCUUGACAGGCUGAUGAAGAGCCGGACGACGGUGAUGGUGGCGCACCGGCUGUCGACGAUCAAGAACGCGGAUCAGAUAUCGGUGCUGCAGGAAGGGAAGAUCAUAGAACAGGGGACACAUUCGAGCUUGAUCGAGAACAAGGAAGGAGCUUAUUACAAGCUCAUUAAUCUGCAGAGGCAGCUGCAGCAGUGACAGACAUAAUAAUAAGUAUAGUAUAUGGUGUGUUGUGUUAUGUAUAUCAAAUGGUGAUCUCAAUGCUUACUUACUUAACUUUCUUUGGAUAUACAAAAGAUCUGGUGGUACAGUAACAGAAGCCACUCUGAUGAGUUGGGAUUGAUGAUGAUGAUGAUGUUGUUGUGUAAGAGAAGGAUGAAGAAGUUAAUAAGGGGGGUUUGUCGUUUGUGUGUAAGUAAGUACUAACUCAUUUUUACUGAUCAAGAAGAAGGAAUUAAAGGAUUGUGGUGGUGGUGAUGAUUUGGGUGUUCCUAAUUGUGGAUUAUUAUUGUUGUUAUUACGAAGAAGCAAUCUGGUGGGUAGGAAUCUGUUGAUAGAUAUGAUGGUUGAUGGAUAGUAUGAUGGUUGUAUCAGAUUCGAAGUGGUAAUGUCCUGAAACUGCUUUUUAUAUAUUUAUUGAUA
This is an RNA transcript of Andrographis paniculata, 4551 nucleotides long. It is a transcript of the gene named ABC transporter B family member 2-like, with no coding region annotated. The transcript has 12 exons. Lineage: Eukaryota; Viridiplantae; Streptophyta; Magnoliopsida; Lamiales; Acanthaceae. The record is from RefSeq and is a predicted model, not a curated record.